UGUUCACAUUUACAUCGUUGCCUUGUUAUUUAUAGAUCAUUCACAUUGGCUCAUGUGCAGACACAAGUUCAGGCGGCCCGUGCGCAGCUUCGGGCAUGCGAAGGGCGUCCGCGGACCCCCGCAAAGGUGGUAACGCUGAGAGGAGGAGACAGGCGAGGAGUGCAUCACUUUUGCCGGACAGGAUGUGUUGUUGCGACAAGAUGCACACGUCUGUCGGGACGACUAUAAAUAAACUAGUUCUCUCUGUCCCUCCCUCUUUCUCUCGCCCACUAUGGUAGGUUGACAGACCGAUCAAUAUCUAGACAGGAGAGAUUUAUAGAGGUCUUCAAUUUCCACUCGAUCGACAUUAACAAUGCAUGUUAGAUUAAAGAGUCCCAACUGACCUCAGCAGAGCUUUAAAUGACCAUAUGUUUUAAUUACAUACAUAACAUGAUCCGACUGUUGUGGGAAUGUCGCUUCAGUCAAUAACGAUUCCCUUUCCACAUCACUCCGUUUCAUCCAGAUUGUCAGAUUGAUUUUCGUCGGGAAAUAUGAGAGGAAAUGAUCUUCUGCCUGGAUGCAUGGAGCAGGAAAUGAGUUUACGCUGAACUCUCCUCGACAAAUGGAGAACAUUUCCAAUUGGCAGAGCGCAGCACAACCUUAGGACGACUUUACUUUCACAUAACUGUCUGACAUCCCAUCUAAGCUCAUGGCUUGUCUGGUUGUGGAAGCUCAUUUAAAGGGCUUUUCCAAGAACCUUUUGAGGAGCUUAGGAACUUUACCUACCGUUCGUCCAGUGGAAAAAACAAAGUUGAAUUCCCAUAGAAUAGUUCCAGAUGGCAAACAGUCGCUGCUCUGAGGCGAGUUCCCUCUGAUUAAAAAAAAGAAUAAGGCUUGACUGUCUCGGCUGUGGCAAGGGGUAAUUUUUAAUGAAUGAAUUCUUUGUCAACAAAGAUGAUUUUGUUUCUCAAACUCUAGAUAAGAUAAAUUCUUUUGCGGGUUCUGUGUCAUGUUUAUUAUGAAAUGUCUCUUGGAAGGCCGGUGAUGCAAAAUAUAAAAAAAAAAAUUAGGAUGCUCAGGAAUGAAAAUAGCAUUUUUGUUUCGAUCCCCCGGGAAUAGUGUUACCAGCUGCUUUACCGUCUCCCACCACAAGAUGCCUGAGGUGUACUUCGGCUGUGAUUUUCCAUCUUACUGUAUGUCACAUUAACAUUUUUAACAUCUUUGUAUGUCAAUUCAGUCUUACUUUGUAUGUGACACUCAGUGCAAGUAGUUUCUUGUGAAGAAUUUUGAGCUGUCCCCGUUUUAUUCUCUGAACAUCAUCACAAUCUGAAUAGGAAACGUGAACAGCAUCUAUUAACAACAAAGACAAAACUCGAAUGCGAGUUGAGUGCAAAUACCAAACUCGCUUGUGCUCACCAUCUCUUUUCUAAUUAUCCCUUCUGAGGAAAGGCUGACAAGUAAAGAGUGAUUAUGAUCGCCUCAAGUCUUUAGCUUUUUUAAUUUAUUUGAUGAAUGACAUGCCAUCCUGGCCACACCCCUUACUUUCCUCGACCUGAGGCGCUGUGACAUUUAUUAUUAUUAUUAUUAUUAUUAAAUAGACUGCAACCUGUACCACACAUUAACUUCUGCAGUCCACCCUCUCUGUCCAUCUGGGCAUGCUUGUUUGAGAUUGGUUAUUGCGAAGUGAGCGACGUACUCGAUAAUGACAGCUGGCACUUCGUUAAAACAACAAUAAAGAUUAGGGCUGCAACUAACGAUUAUUUUCAUAAUCGUUUAAUCUGAGAAUUUUGACUUUUUCAUCCAUAAAAAAAUACUUGAACCGAUUAAUCGAUUAUCAAAUUAGUUGGCGAUUAGUUUAGUAAUCAAUUACUAAUCGGUUAACUGUUGCAGCUCUAAUUAAGAUAUUAUCGUAGACGAUACAUAUCGCACACCCCCAGCUGGGAUAGAAUAUUACCUUAUCACUGCCCAAAGCUAUUUCACCUAGACAAUUUCUCAUUGGUGCCCGAGCACUGGAGGUGACGGGCCGAGAGCCGCUCUGCUGAAGUAACGGGCCAAAACACACACAUUAGGGUGGUGUAAAAAGAACACCGAAGAAGAGGAAACACGUCGGCACCAGUAGAAAGACCACGAGCAACAAAGGAACAGCCAAUGUGGCAAGCGAGCAGCAGGUUCGCCGCAGCUCCCCUUGGAGGGUCCGUUUGUCCUCCCUCUCCUCCUGGGGCUCGGCGCCCGGCUCGGACCUCAGCUUUUGCAACAAGCUCUCGUCUUGUUGUGACACUCUCCCUGUGAGGACGUCAGCUUCGCACCUUCGUCUGUCCUCUUCGUAUGAGGCUCUGACUCUCUCCAGUUCUUCUUGGAGAAUCUGUUUUCCCUCUCUCUCCACCUGGAGCUCAGCAUCAUGGACAGCCAUCAGCUUGUGCAACCAGAAGUUGUCCUCUCUCUCCCCCUCUGCGCGAGACUCGAUCUCCCUGUCGAGCUGAAGCUGAAGGCCGUGGGCCCACUGCGUCACUGUGAGGACGUCAGCUUCAUACCUCUGUCCGUCCUCUUCGUAUGAGGCUCUGACUCGCUCCAGUUCUUCUUGGAGAGUCUUGGUUUUCUCCCUCUCCAGCUGCAGCUCCUCUGCCAUCCCUCGGUGACAGGUGUCCUGCUUAGCCCUCAGGUUUAUGACAUAGGUUCUGGGGUUCUGUAACUCCCUGUCUCCCUGAGAGCCCCAACGAAAUGUGUUCUGGCUGUUGUCUUGCUGACAGUCUUUCCUACGCAGUUUCUGAGGAGCGGCAGACUGCGUGCCUUCUUUUGAAAGGUCCCCGUUCGAACCUCUGACCCUUUGAGGGAUUUUACUUCUUGGGUGCAUGGCGUGUGAUGUGGUGGUGGAAUCAGCUUCUAAAUAACCUUGAUGUGUAAAGUUAGAGCUGUUUGCUGGUCAGAUGUUGUCUGAUCCGAAUUCUUCCGCACAAUGUGAGAGAUCUGCAGCCCCACAUGCAUAAGAGAUCUGAUGAUGUCACCAUCGAACGCCUGUGAAGUGGCCUUUCAAGUGAACUUUGAAGUGAUUUGAAGGUCUACUGUUUAUGUUUUGCUUGUUUACAAUAAGAAAUGUGAGAUUCAAAUGUUAACAGAGAAGCUGCCCCACUCUUCAAACCUGUUUCUAAACGCGGUUCUAAGAAUGGAUUCUGGGAUGGAGGGGGCACCUGCAAAUUUUUGAGGCUGUUGUGAAAUUUGGUAUUCCCAUGAAAUAUUGUUCCCACUACUCAGGAACAGAGGCUUGGCCCUGGGUGUGGUUUUGUAGGCAUGUGGGACCCCUCAAGACGAACAACUUUCAUGACACGUUGCAUUAAUCAUGCUCAACAGGAAGAGAUGAAUAAAAAGCCGGACGGACACUGACAACUUUUGAGUUUAUUGGAUUUGCCGGUGGAGAGAUCUCCAUCCCUGCUUCUCCCUUUGUUGCCUGUCUGUGCCGGGGACGACUGGAGGCCGAGGACCCUUCAUCCUAAUCGGCUUGAGAUCUUGGCCGCAGGUCAGG
Molecule: long non-coding RNA, 3496 nt
Organism: Scophthalmus maximus (turbot)
Lineage: Eukaryota; Metazoa; Chordata; Actinopteri; Pleuronectiformes; Scophthalmidae
Exons: 3
Source: RefSeq, a predicted model, not a curated record